RNAcentral lists this ribosomal RNA (699 nucleotides) under uncultured bacterium. RNAcentral's name for it is "bacterial SSU rRNA". It matches the Rfam family "Bacterial small subunit ribosomal RNA", at positions 119 to 814 of the family's 1533-position model. The record is from RNAcentral.
CGGAACGUGCCCAGUCGUGGGGGAUAACGUAGCGAAAGUUACGCUAAUACCGCAUAAGAUCUAAGGAUGAAAGCGGGGGAUCGCAAGACCUCGCGCGACUGGAGCGGCCGAUAUCAGAUUAGGUAGUUGGUAGGGUAAAGGCCUACCAAGCCAACGAUCUGUAGCUGGUCUGAGAGGACGACCAGCCACACUGGAACUGAGACACGGUCCAGACUCCUACGGGAGGCAGCAGUGGGGAAUUUUGGACAAUGGGCGAAAGCCUGAUCCAGCCAUUCCGCGUGCAGGAUGAAGGCCCUCGGGUUGUAAACUGCUUUUGUACAGAACGAAAAGGUUUCUAUUAAUACUAGGAGCUCAUGACGGUACUGUAAGAAUAAGCACCGGCUAACUACGUGCCAGCAGCCGCGGUAAUACGUAGGGUGCAAGCGUUAAUCGGAAUUACUGGGCGUAAAGCGUGCGCAGGCGGUUAUAUAAGUCAGAUGUGAAAUCCCCGGGCUCAACCUGGGAACUGCAUUUGAGACUGUAUAGCUAGAGUACGGUAGAGGGGGAUGGAAUUCCGCGUGUAGCAGUGAAAUGCGUAGAUAUGCGGAGGAACACCGAUGGCGAAGGCAAUCCCCUGGACCUGUACUGACGCUCAUGCACGAAAGCGUGGGGAGCAAACAGGAUUAGAUACCCUGGUAGUCCACGCCCUAAACGAUGUCA